GUUUUUUUCAAAUAAGUCAAUGAAGUUGUCCUUCCCCCAAAAAACACAUUGGAACACAAUUUGCAGGCUGGGAUAAUAUAUGUAUCAAUUCUUUCAAUUGGGAAAAGAAUUUACAUACAAGAAAACUCUGGAAAAACCAACAAAAGGAACUUGUAGAUCUGGAGAAAGGGCUCAACUCUUUGAUUUUGAGUGCUUAACAAGCCAAUCAAUGACUGAGUCAAUAUUGGUGGAAUUCUUGCACGAGAUCAUAUAGCAGCACACUUCUCUAUCAGUUAUUGAUUUCAAUCCCAUCUGCUUAGUCAAAGCCUGUUUGGAAAGGGAAUCAGGCUUGUCAAUUUUGUUUCCCAGCACCAGCAGUGGAAUACCACUCAGAGAUGGCUUGCUCAACAGGUCAUGGAGUUCACUACUUGAUAUGCUGAGGUUAUCAGGAUCAGCAGCAUCAACAACAUAAACUAUAGCAGAAACAGCACGACAGUAACGCUCCCACAUACUGCGGAAUCUGGGUUGACCUCCAAGGUCCCACAAUUUUAUAGUGACAUUUCCUUUCGUCACUUUGCGCAUGUUAAAUCCCACAGUUGGUAUCAUGUCUUCACUGUAUCCACCAGUUGCAAUAACAUUUACAAGAGAUGUUUUUCCUGCAUUUUGCAAUCCUAUCAAUGAAAGCUCCAUUUCCUGCUUAAAGAAGAGGCUUCGAAGCCAAUUGAGCAAAGCAUCCCAAAGACCCAUAGCUAACGAGAGCGAGAGAUCCGAAAAUGUGAGUUUAUCGCAGAUUUUUGUAUAUAUGUAUGUAAAUCUCUCUCGCUCUCACUCACAAAUGAAAAAAUGUGUUUGUGUUCGGUUCAAAUUUGAACCUUUUUGAGAAAUUUC
This 867-nucleotide unclassified non-coding RNA is filed under the name Hevea brasiliensis (rubber tree). Lineage: Eukaryota; Viridiplantae; Streptophyta; Magnoliopsida; Malpighiales; Euphorbiaceae. The record is from RNAcentral.